AAAGGGAGAAGAGAGGUUGAACCAUGGGGAAGGGGGAAGAGGAAGGCAGCCGCUAAGCCACCCACUAGGAAGCGGAUGGACAAGCUCGAUAUGGUCUUUUCCUGCCCAUUCUGCAAUGAUAGGAGCAGCGUUGAAUGCCGGAUUGAUAUGGAAACCUGAUUGGUGAGGCUAAUUGUGAAAUCUGACAGGAAAGCUUCAGCAGCCAGCACCACUGCAAAUGGCGGCUUCGGCGAGUCGGAUGGACAACGGCGGCGGCUGAGCUUCUCCAUGGCCUGCUGCAGUUCCUAGGAGAGAGAGCUUCGAAGGUGAGGAGAUAUAGAAGAACAGAAGGGAGAGGAGGAAGGGCAGGGGCGUGGCGGCCUUGACGGUGAACCUCGGGUUGCGACGGUCUCCGGCGAGAGGCGGCGUGGGGUGGCGGCGCGAGCCUACGGAGCGGCGGCGGCUUGGAGCUGCGGGAGCUCGGGCGUUUGGAUGCGUUUGGAUCGCAGGCCUAAGGUUAUGCAUAUUGGGUAUGUUUUGAUCGCUAUCAAACCUGUCCAUACAAAAUAUUGCCAUGAUUUAUCCUGCUGUUGGCUAGAUCUGAAGUACUCCCUCCGUUCACAAAUAUAAGAUGUUCUAACUUUUUUGUGAAUCGGAUGUAUGUACGCAUAUGGGAUAUUUAUUAUAGAAGAA
Aegilops tauschii subsp. strangulata is the source of this 672-nucleotide long non-coding RNA. RefSeq lists it as uncharacterized. Lineage: Eukaryota; Viridiplantae; Streptophyta; Magnoliopsida; Poales; Poaceae. The record is from RefSeq and is a predicted model, not a curated record.